UCUACCUUCGAGUGGGGAAUAACAUCGGGAAACCGANGCUAAUACCGCAUAACGCAGCGGCAUCGCAAGAUGACAGUUGUUAAAGGAGCAAUCCGCUUGAAGAGGAGCUUGCGGCAGAUUAGCUAGUUGGUAAGGUAAUGGCUUACCAAGGCUUCGAUCUGUAUCCGGUCUAAGAGGACGGUCGGACACACUGACACUGAAUAACGGGUCAGACUCCUACGGGAGGCAGCAGUCGGGAAUUUUGGGCAAUGGGCGAAAGCCUGACCCAGCAACGCCGCGUGAAGGAUGAAGUAUUUCGGUAUGUAAACUUCGAAAGAAUGGGAAGAAUCAAUGACGGUACCAUUUAUAAGCUCCGGCUAACUACGUGCCAGCAGCCGCGGUAAUACGUAUGGAGCAAGCGUUGUUCGGAUUUACUGGGCGUAAAGGGCGCGUAGGCGGCCUGUCAAGUCAACUGUGAAAUCUCCGGGCUUAACUCGGAACGGNCAGUUGAUACUGUCAGGCUAGAGUGCAGAAGGGGCA
Molecule: ribosomal RNA, 519 nt
Filed under: uncultured Acidobacteriota bacterium
Lineage: Bacteria; Pseudomonadati; Acidobacteriota
Description: bacterial SSU rRNA
Rfam family: Bacterial small subunit ribosomal RNA
Source: RNAcentral